This is a long non-coding RNA of Zingiber officinale, 2953 nucleotides long. RefSeq lists it as uncharacterized. The record is from RefSeq and is a predicted model, not a curated record. The transcript is spliced from 5 exons. NCBI's taxonomy places the organism in Eukaryota, Viridiplantae, Streptophyta, Magnoliopsida, Zingiberales, Zingiberaceae.
AGAGGAGAUGAUAUAAGAGACUCACGUCCACGGCCGCGCCCCUCGAACUUUCGCUUUCCCUCUUCUCCAGGAAGAGCGCACCGACAAAGGGGACAAAGGAUGACUGCUGCCGGAGACGGAACCGGGGGUAGGGUGAACGGGCGGGCGGCGACGAUCUCGUCGGGGUCGAGGAAAUUAGUGCAGAGUCUUAAGGAAAUCGUCAACUGCUCCGAACCGGAGAUCUAUGCCAUGUUGCGCGAGUGCAAUAUGGACCCUAAUGAGGCCGUCCAAUGCCUCCUAUCCCAAGAUACUUUUCAGGAGGUCAAAAGCAAGCGUGACAAGAAAAAGGAGGUCAGAGAGUUUCCAAAUCUAGAUCUCAAACAGUCAACACCAAUUCAGGUCGUGGAUCUAAGGGUAGUAGUGAUCAUAGGGGCCAUCAUCAGUCCAGUUUGACUGAAUAUGAAGUUGAUAAAAGUAAACAUAUGCACAAGAAACAAAAUGAUAUUACUGUUGCUCCUGUCUCAUCAGUUGUGGAAUCGGCAACAAUAAUAAAUCCUACAAAAAGACCAACUGUCGAGAGGUGAUUUCUUCCUUAAUAUUCAGGAAUAAAUUUAGCACGUUUCAUAACAAGGCAAAAAUUUCCACUCAUUUAACCAAGAUCAGGGUCUGAAUCUCUUUUUUUAUUAUUAUUCAAAAAAUAUUCUAGUUUUCCUUUUUUGAUGACAUUGGAGUAAAUUGAUCCUAUUAUUUCUAGAGUAUGUUGUUAUUUUUUCCUUUUAAAAAAAAAUUAGAAGACACUUGCUUAGCUUGGUUGCUGUUAAAGAUGAUUCUCUUCCCUGAUUUGUUUUUCUCACAUCUUUUAAUCCAUCAUUUUUUUUUCUGGUUACACACAGCAUUUUGGAAGAACUGUAAUGACAUUGGUGUCAAAUUCUUGUUCUGUUGUUUUAUUAUAUUUUCUCUGCUGACACACAAGUGAGCAUAAUUUUACUAAGCUAACCUGCCACAAUUCUGUUAAAUUAGUGUCAUAUAUUUGUUACCAUACAGAUUAGUUAACUAAUAUUUUGGUCUAAAAUUAUAUCAAUAUUAUCAUAUUAUAUGAUAUACACAAUAAAUUCAGAUAUGGUGUGGAAUUUUUGGUGGUUUUAUAUAAAAACUUCAAACCCACCCAGUGGAACCCGAUUUCUAAAUACAUGAACCUGAAAAAACAUGAUUUUUCAAAGCGGUUUAGUUUAGCUGAUUUGUAUUAUCUAAUAGGUUCCUAAUUUAGACCAACUUUGCAAAUAAAUUGUGAGGCAUGCUCAUCUUUCUUGAGCUGGAAAUUUUAAACCAAUCAUAACUUUUGAAAUACGUUGGAUUACUUCUUGAUGAUGGCUUCAGUUCCACCUGGAGGCAAAUAUGUCUCAGCUUCUCAGGACUUACUGGACUGCUAGCUUUUCAUCUAUAUGUGGAUUUUGGACAGUUUGAGUGGGUAAUUUAUUGCAUCCAAUCUAUUUAUCAGAGUCCCACAAUAGCUAUUAGGUAUAGUCUGUUAAUGAUAGCCAAGUGAUUUUACUGUAGAAGUGUACACUGGAGAAUCUGAUUUCCUGGAUCUCAUUCUUGCCCUAAUGUUACUGAAGCAAAGAUUUGGCUUUUUGGGGCUUCAGUGAUCUUACUGGCUGCUUUAUUUUCUUGCAGCAGUUUUGCUCCCAUUAAAGAUACAAUGCAUAAAACAAAAAUUGCUGAUGCAAUUUCUACACCUUUGCAAUGUUCAUCUAGUUUUCAAAACAGUUAGUUAGGGAAUCCAGGACAUGUUUCUAUGGCUGAUAUUGUCCAGACGGGCAGACCUGAAGGGAAACAAAGUACUGUGCCUGCUGUUGCAAGUGUAAAUUCCUACAGGUCACACAGUGCGGUAAUAACAAACAUGUCAAACCACGAUGCAAAACAAUCCUUUGCUACAUCUCUAACAUCAGAAUCAGAAGAAAAGGUAGACACUCCUUUGAAGAAUUUAAUCAUUUUUCAGAUAAAAGCCAUGGCAUUGGAACUGCUGAACAUCAUCACAUUUCCAAUUAUGGGUGGUUCCUAGUCCAAGAGCAACCUGCAGAAAGUGUGUUAACCACUAUGGAGAUAACUUCACCAGCUUAUACUAACCCAUCAGAACUGGCAGCACCUAAUUUGAUGGUUGUUUGUUUGGACUUGCAAAUAGAUCCUUGUUCAAAAGAUAUCCAAGACCAUGAUGGAAGAGCAAGUGUUAAACCUCAGGCAAUAGAAUCCAGACCCAUAUCUGCAUCAGAAAGGCAGUUAGAUGUUGAAACGUCUGAAGAUGCUUCCUAUUUCGAUGACAGAUUAUUGAGCGGAGUAUAAUGGCGGUGAAAGAUGAAGAACUCAAUUCAUUGGGACCAAAAAAUUGGUCUGCAGCUACAAACUUUACUGAGGUAGAAAUUUUGAAUUUUGUAUCUGCUCAAGUCAUUUUACACAUGCUUCUAUAUAAUCAUUUCAUAUGGUCUUUAGAUUCAAGAUCCAAUUAAAAAUGUUUAUCUCUUUACUAUCUUUAUUAUGAUAUUUCCUGAUUUUAUUUAUUUAUUUAUCUAGAUACCGUGCAUCAAAAUUCUGAAGUUGUAUUUAUUUCUAAUAGAAAACAUAUAGUUUACAGAAUAAUAUUAAUUUUAUUGAAGAUCUCUUAAGCAAUUUUGUUUCUGAUAGGCAGAACAGACUUGAUGCAUGAUACAUGCACUUGUAUGUUUAACACGAUCAUUUAGGGUUUAGGGAAAACAUAUAGUUUACAGAAUAAUACCCAUUUUAUUGAAGAUCUCUUAAGCAAUUUUGUUUCUGAUAGGCAGAACAGACUUGAUGCAUGAUACAUGCACUUGUAUGUUUAACACUAUCAUCUAGUUUUCUUUCUGUUUUUAUGUUGAGAAUCUAUACUGUUGCUAUGAAUUUCUUCAGCAGUUAGCACAAAAUUGUUUACCUCUUUUACAUAUUGUUUUUCAUGUCAAAC